CCUUUGUAACACACCGCCCGUCGCUCUACCAUUUGAAUGGGCUCAGUGAGGCCCUUCGGACUGGGCUCAGGAGGGGUUGGCAACGACCCCCCAGAGCCGGAAAGUUGGUCAAACUUCGGUCAUAGAGGAAGUAAAAAGUCGUAAACAAGGUUUCCGUAGGUGAACCUGCGGAAGGAUCAUUACCGAGU
This 188-nucleotide ribosomal RNA is filed under the name Penicillium oxalicum. Its description in RNAcentral is "partial 18S ribosomal RNA". It matches the Rfam family "Eukaryotic small subunit ribosomal RNA", at positions 1657 to 1831 of the family's 1831-position model. The record is from RNAcentral. Lineage: Eukaryota; Fungi; Ascomycota; Eurotiomycetes; Eurotiales; Aspergillaceae.